This 471-nucleotide ribosomal RNA is filed under the name uncultured soil bacterium. RNAcentral's name for it is "bacterial SSU rRNA". It matches the Rfam family "Bacterial small subunit ribosomal RNA", at positions 26 to 484 of the family's 1533-position model. The record is from RNAcentral.
AGAGUGAACGCUGGCGGCAGGCCUAACACAUGCAAGUCGAACGGCAGCACAGCAGAGCUUGCUCUGUGGGUGGCGAGUGGCGGACGGGUGAGGAUAACGUCGGAAUCUGCCUAUUUGUGGGGGAUAACGUAGGGAAACUUACGCUAAUACCGCAUACGACCUACGGGUGAAAGCGGAGGACCUUCGGGCUUCGCGCAGAUAGAUGAGCCGACGUCGGAUUAGCUAGUUGGCGGGUAAAGGCCCACCAAGGCGACGAUCCGUAGCUGGUCUGAGAGGAUGAUCAGCCACACUGGAACUGAGACACGGUCCAGACUCCUACGGGAGGCAGCAGUGGGGAAUAGUUGGACAAUGGGCGCAAGCCUGAUCCAGCCAUGCCGCGUGUGUGAAGAAGGCCUUCGGGUAGUAAGCUACGUUUGUACGGAAGAAAGCGACCGGAUUAAUACCCGUGGCGUCAGUGACGGUAACCGUAAG